RNAcentral lists this ribosomal RNA (507 nucleotides) under Anaplasma platys. RNAcentral's name for it is "bacterial SSU rRNA". It matches the Rfam family "Bacterial small subunit ribosomal RNA", at positions 78 to 617 of the family's 1533-position model. Lineage: Bacteria; Pseudomonadati; Pseudomonadota; Alphaproteobacteria; Rickettsiales; Anaplasmataceae. The record is from RNAcentral.
GCUUGCUAUGAUAAAAAUUAGUGGCAGACGGGUGAGUAAUGCAUAGGAAUCUACCUAGUAGUAUGGGAUAGCCACUAGAAAUGGUGGGUAAUACUGUAUAAUCCCUGCGGGGGAAAGAUUUAUCGCUAUUAGAUGAGCCUAUGUUAGAUUAGCUAGUUGGUAGGCUAAAGGCCUACCAAGGCAGUGAUCUAUAGCUGGUCUGAGAGGAUGAUCAGCCACACUGGAACUGAGAUACGGUCCAGACUCCUACGGGAGGCAGCAGUGGGGAAUAUUGGACAAUGGGCGCAAGCCUGAUCCAGCUAUGCCGCGUGAGUGAGGAAGGCCUUAGGGUUGUAAAACUCUUUCAGUGGGGAAGAUAAUGACGGUACCCACAGAAGAAGUCCCGGCAAUCUCCGUGCCAGCAGCCGCGGUAAUACGGAGGGGGCAAGCGUUGUUCGGAAUUAUUGGGCGUAAAGGGCAUGUAGGCGGUUCGGUAAGUUAAAGGUGAAAUGCCAGGGCUUAACCCUG